This 802-nucleotide ribosomal RNA is filed under the name uncultured bacterium. RNAcentral's name for it is "bacterial SSU rRNA". It matches the Rfam family "Bacterial small subunit ribosomal RNA", at positions 8 to 796 of the family's 1533-position model. The record is from RNAcentral.
AGAGUUUGAUCAUGGCUCAGGACGAACGCUGGCGGCGCGCUUAAUACAUGCAAGUCGAGCGAGAACCAGGGCUUCGGCCCUGGGGACAGCGGCGAACGGGUGAGUAACACGUGGGUAAUCAACCCUCGACACUGGGAUAGCCCGGGGAAACCCGGAUUAAUACCGGAUACCCCGUCCGGCCUUCGGGCCGGCCGGAAAAGGUAGCUUCGGCCUCCGGUCGGGGACGAGCCCGCGGCGGAUUAGCUUGUUGGUGUGGGUAAUGGCCCACCAAGGCGACGAUCCGUAGCUGGUCUGAGAGGACGAUCAGCCACACUGGGACUGAGACACGGCCCAGACUCCUACGGGAGGCAGCAGUAGGGAAUCUUGCGCAAUGGGCGAAAGCCUGACGCAGCGACGCCGCGUGAGGGAAGAAGGCCUUCGGGUUGUAAACCUCUUUCAGGAGGGACGAAGCCACUCGGGUUAAUAGCCCAGAGGGUGACGGUACCUCCAGAAGAAGCCCCGGCUAACUACGUGCCAGCAGCCGCGGUAAUACGUAGGGGGCAAGCGUUGUCCGGAUUUAUUGGGCGUAAAGAGCGUGUAGGCGGCCAAACAGGUCCACUGUGAAAACUCGAGGCUCAACCUCGAGAGGUCGGUGGAAACCGUAUGGCUAGAGUCCGGAAGAGGAGAGUGGAAUUCCCGGUGUAGCGGUGAAAUGCGCAGAUAUCGGGAAGAACACCCGUGGCGAAGGCGGCUCUCUGGGACGGUACUGACGCUGAGACGCGAAAGCGUGGGGAGCGAACAGGAUUAGAUACCCUGGUAGUCC